This 205-nucleotide ribosomal RNA is filed under the name Clostridioides difficile. Its description in RNAcentral is "partial 16S ribosomal RNA". It matches the Rfam family "Bacterial small subunit ribosomal RNA", at positions 537 to 742 of the family's 1533-position model. Lineage: Bacteria; Bacillati; Bacillota; Clostridia; Peptostreptococcales; Peptostreptococcaceae. The record is from RNAcentral.
AGCGUUAUCCGGAUUUACUGGGCGUAAAGGGUGCGUAGGCGGUCUUUCAAGUCAGGAGUGAAAGGCUACGGCUCAACCGUAGUAAGCUCUUGAAACUGGGAGGCUUGAGUGCAGGAGAGGAGAGUGGAAUUCCUAGUGUAGCGGUGAAAUGCGUAGAUAUUAGGAGGAACACCAGUUGCGAAGGCGGCUCUCUGGACUGUAACUG